UACGGGGGGAGCAAACGUUGUUCGGAAUUACUGGGCGUAAAGGGCGCGUAGGCGGUCCUGUAAGUGGUGUGUGAAAUCCGAUGGCUCAACCAUCGAGCUGCGCUCCAUACUGCAGGACUUGAGUACAGCAGAGGAAAGUGGAAUUCCCGGUGUAGCGGUGAAAUGCGUAGAUAUCUGGAGGAACACCGGUGGCGAAGGCGGCAUCCUGGACCGACACUGACACUGAGGAGCGAAAGCCAGGGGAGCAAACGGG
Molecule: ribosomal RNA, 253 nt
Filed under: uncultured bacterium
Lineage: Bacteria
Description: partial 16S ribosomal RNA
Rfam family: Bacterial small subunit ribosomal RNA
Source: RNAcentral